GCUUUUGUACACACCGCCCGUCGCUACUACAGAUUGAAUGAUUUAGUGAGGUCUUCGGACUGGUACGCGGCAUCGACUCUGUCGUUGCCGAUGCUACCGGAAAGAUGACCAAACUUGAUCAUUUAGAGGAAGUAAAAGUCGUAACAAGGUUUCCGUAGGUGAACCUGCGGAAGGAUCAUUA
RNAcentral lists this ribosomal RNA (181 nucleotides) under Stauroderus scalaris. RNAcentral's name for it is "partial 18S ribosomal RNA". It matches the Rfam family "Eukaryotic small subunit ribosomal RNA", at positions 1656 to 1831 of the family's 1831-position model. Lineage: Eukaryota; Metazoa; Arthropoda; Insecta; Orthoptera; Acrididae. The record is from RNAcentral.